Molecule: long non-coding RNA, 3797 nt
Filed under: Sus scrofa (pig)
Lineage: Eukaryota; Metazoa; Chordata; Mammalia; Artiodactyla; Suidae
Description: lncRNA (ENSSSCG00000060237.1)
Source: RNAcentral
UUUUUUUUUUUUUUUUUUUUUUUUUUAACACAGCCUCUGGGUGGGUCUGACACUCCCAACAGUUUGAGAACCAAGAUAUAAUACAAAGAGGCUGGCGAAGGGGUUGUCAUCCAGCACUGUCAACCACCUCCUCUCUGGUGCCUCCUGGGUAAUUUUCUACUCAAACUAGUUAAGGGGCUGAAGUGUGCAAAUGAUUUACUUAAGAAAAAUUAAAGGAAGGUAGAUGCAAGCUUAUCUCCCUAAUCAAGUCACUCUCAUUCACUCACAUGCACCACUAGGUUUUCUUGAAUGAUGUUGAUGUGUGAGUGAUUUUGAUUUUAGAAAGGGGAAGUUAAACAUGGCUUUUGUCUUGUUAUUUGCAAUAGAAAGUGAAAGUAGGUUUGUAAAUAAUCUUAGACAAAAAGGAAUCUGUAAGGAAAAUCAAGGUAUCUGAAGCAUUUAUUUACUAAUAACUACAGCGAAGAUUCAUCUGGGCAUUCAAUGCUCACAGGCUCUUGUGCCUGAUUGCUGAGAUUCUUAAAACAAAACAAAACAAAAUAUAUGUGUGUAUACACACACACAGAGCCAUUGAAUAUGCAACUGUCCCAAUUAGGAGAGGAAAAUGUGCAUGGCUUAAGGCUGGCAUAUCCCAAGGAGGAGGCCGUUUUGCAGUGAGAUUAGAGAUUCCUUUUAUUUUGGCCAAGGGUCUUACUGAAGGAGCAGCUGAGAGCUUUGCUAAAUUUUCAAAAGAGGUGCGUUGGUCUGCCAGAUGUGCAGUAGGUUUAAAUCAGUGUUUCCCUGAGUAUGUUGCAAAGAACAAUUCCAAGUUUCUAAGCACUAAUACAAAAAAAAAAAAAAAAAAAGUCUGAGGUGAAGUGAGAAACUCUAGGUAAACUGAAUUAGAUAGGAUCAUUUGCAGCACAGCGGCCUCUAACACAUUCCUAUACACUGCGAUUCUCCAGAAGAGCGUUGCCUCAUGGAUUUGAUCAGCAAAACCCUUUCAGAAGGGAUAAUCUUGUGGAAUUAGUGUUCUAGCCAGUAAACUUUAGGAACCACGCAUUCACAUCUUCUAAGAUGGCAAACACCUGUGGGUAGAAGCUAGUUAUUCUAUGUGUUGUAUAAUAAGGAAUCUCUUUGUUAUAAUUUAUUAAAUGCUCUGUGUCUGGCAUCAACAUUAAUUAUGUAGUGGCUUGAAGCCAACAAGAAGGUUCAUGUAGUCAUCACUGAAGAGUUAAGUAAGUUGUCCAGCUGUUGAUGGUCUGGUUAAAUCAUCCCUGAAUAGCUGGCAUAUCUCCCAGAACAGGUAUUCAUUAAAAAAAAAAAAAAAAAAAAAAAAAAAAAAAGGGAAACCUGGAUUUUACUACUGAGAUUACAUUGUGUUUUCACAAAUGAGAGAUAAUUCCAUUGCAACCCCUUGCUUGUACCCCGAAACCGCAUUCAAAAGCAGAUGUGUAUCUAGGCUGAUGUUGGAAAGUCUACCUGCCUUUCCCGAUCCCCUCGCCUCCCCUCCCACUGACAGCAUUUUCCUGAUUGUUUCCACUCUCCUGGGGUCCAGAUGGUGGUGGCUGUGGCAGCACCUUGGCUCCUAAACUGGCUAUUCCAGAAGGUGAUAGGAGGUUGGGGAUGUGUAUUGCAAAGGUCAGACCAGUAGGGAUCUUAAGCACAUCCUUGGUUAUAAACGUCUCCUCUUGAAGCUCUUGCCAGAGCUGUGCGUUAAUGCCAAAUGUUAAUUCUUGCUGGGGACAUGAUGUCUUAUAAAUGUUAUGAAAGAAUAUCAUUUUUCUUGUAGAAGUGAAGGUACUUUUAGGGCCAUGUUAAGAAAAGGAUUCGUUUCCCAAGUAACAUCUGUAGGUCACGUGCUUGCCUAUAAAUCGCUUCCUUGCUCAAAUUCCCCCAUCUCCUGCCAUUGUUAACCAAGAGUUGGAAGGAAUUCUCACCUGGAAGAAAGAAUAGAACUUAACUUUGAAGGAUGCAUAAAGAUUAAAAACAAACAAACAAAAACCCUAAACAUAAAACAAUCCCACCCCCCGUGCUAAUAUUUGUCUUUUCUCCGUAGUCCUACAAGUCUAUGCAAGACUCAGAGCUCAUUCAGAUGUGUCUCUGAACUAAAAAUAAUAGAGCAGAUUCAACUUGGGGAGGACUUAAAGUCCUUUUUCUCAUCUCUUUUGUGAGUAUAUCCUUGUUGACAUCACAUGUGCUUCCCAGCUUUGGAGUUAUAAGGUGUUGGUGGGAGGUGAUUCACUCUCCCUCUUCGUAAGAAAGAGCAGAAGUUCAGCAGAGUUAACUGAGGUCUACCCGCCACCACUCGUCUGGUUUGUUAUGGAGUUGAAUAUCUCUCCCCUUUCUAUUCUUUGAAAUGUUUUGAAUUAAAAUAGCUUACUCAAGGUCACUGAAGGCAUAUGGUCCUGCUCAAAACUUUAAACAAAACAUUAGUUUUUACAACCUUUUGUAAUUUGGUCUUGUAUACAACAUGGUUAUAUGCGGAGUUUCUGUAAUCUUUUCAGUGGGUGACAGAAAUAUGAGAAGCAAAUUUAUAAGCCAUUUAGUGAAGCAUUUAAUCAAUUUCAUGCAUAAGAAAUAACCCCAAUUGCUUUGCUUUAUCAGUCUUUCUCUCCAGGAGAACUGCAGUCAACAUGAUCUCCAAACAGUGGCUGGGGGUGGAGGUGGGAGCUCAGGGGGUCGAGGAGAGCGGGGACAGUGUGGGACGGUUUGCGAGGAAACCUCAGGAUGCACUUCAGUGUCAGGGCCUUCUGAAGUCUGCCUAACAGGGUUGCCAGCAUCCCUGAGACUUCUGGAGGCUGUUAAUGUAUUUCAGAAAGCAAGCAUGGGGGUCUAAUGUUUAGAAGAAGUUUUCAAGGCCUUUUACUGCAAAGUUAUUCAUUAAACACCCUUUUCCCAGAGUGACUCUCAUGUGCUCAGCAUGGCAGAUGCUUCAACUUUAGGCUCAAAGAAAUAGUCAGUGGUAAUUUCUUUCAAACACAUGAAAAAAUAAAACGACUUACAUGAGAACUUACUUCUGAGACUUACAGAGUCGAAGCAAGGUGAUCAAAAUAACUGAAAAUCCACUAAAGUGGAUUGUUAGGAGGAGAGAUAUUUGAGCAUUUUUCAGAAUACCUGAAUUGUUCAUGUUCUGACUCUCUCUUUCUUUUUCAAACUUAAUUUGAACUGCCUAAAAGAUUCAUCUGGCUCUUGGCUACAUAAUAGGUUAAUAUUUUCCUUUCUGUCAUGUGCUAGAAUCCCUCUUAUAACACUUUACCCCAAACACCAUCAAGUUCUUAAGUGAAAAAGUCCUAAGGGAGCAAAAAAAGUUCUUAAGUGAAAAAGUCCUAAGGGAGCAAAAAAAGUUCUUACAAUAAUCGCUACUUGCUAAACUAUAUUAAAAUUGCACAGCUCUACCUUGUCCUCCAAAAUUGGAACUGAUAUAAAGGUACUGCAGUCAUAGUUUAUAAUUUAGAAAAUAAUCUGCUACCACUUUUUCUAGACCGAGAAAAAUAUCUGAGUGAAUAAAUUCCAAUCUACAUUCCUUAGUUCUGAUUUGAAAUCAGCUCCAUUCAUGGAUUCAUCUCAAGAGGCUCUGCUGUUUCACAUUCUCUUUUAAAUAUGACAUAAACGAGGGUGUUCCUGCGUUGGCAGUUCAUUAGCAUGCUCUUGGAUAUUUAUGUAGGCUGUGGGGGCUGCACUAUUAUAUUGAAUAGAGUUAUUUUGGUAACACUACAUCAAAUUGGUGGCUCUAAUGGAGAUUGCCAACGCUUGUCUGUCUUUCUGUCUAUCAUCCAUGGCUAUUCAGUCAUUGACUCCUGGAUUAAACCUCACUUGAC